GUGUCAGCCGCCGCGGUAAUACGGGGGGUGCAAGCGUUACUCGGAAUCACUGGGCGUAAAGAGAAUGUAGGCUGGUUAUUAAGUUGGAAGUGAAAUCCUAUGGCUCAACCAUAGAACUGCUUCCAAAACUGAUUACCUAGAAUAUGGGAGAGGUAGAUGGAAUUUCUGGUGUAGGGGUAAAAUCCGUAGAGAUCAGAAGGAAUACCGAAAGCGAAGGCGAUCUCCUGGAACAUAACUGACGCUAAGGCGUGAAAGCGUGGGGAGCAAACAGGAUUAGAUACCCUGGUAGUCCACGCCCUAAACGAUGAACACUAGUCGUCGGGAUGCUAGUCAUCUCGGUGAUGCACUUAACAGAUUAAGUGUUCCGCCUGGGGAGUACGGUCGCAAGNUUAAAACUCAAAGGAAUUGACGG
This 412-nucleotide ribosomal RNA is filed under the name uncultured bacterium. RNAcentral's name for it is "bacterial SSU rRNA". It matches the Rfam family "Bacterial small subunit ribosomal RNA", at positions 505 to 916 of the family's 1533-position model. The record is from RNAcentral.